Molecule: ribosomal RNA, 301 nt
Filed under: uncultured bacterium
Lineage: Bacteria
Description: partial 16S ribosomal RNA
Rfam family: Bacterial small subunit ribosomal RNA
Source: RNAcentral
CAGUAGCCGCGGUAAUACGUAGGUGGCAAGCGUUGUCCGGAAUUAUUGGGCGUAAAGGGCUCGCAGGCGGUUUCUUAAGUCUGAUGUGAAAGCCCCCGGCCCAACCGGGGAGGGUCAUUGGAAACUGGGAAACUUGAGUGCAGAAGAGGAGAGUGGGAUUCCACGUGUAGCGGUGAAAUGCGUAGAGAUGUGGAGGAACACCAGUGGCGAAGGCGACUCUCUGGUCUGUAACUGACGCUGAGGAGCGAAAGCGUGGGGAGCGAACAGGAUUAGAUACCCCGGUAGUCCCUGUCUCUUAUAC